UAGGGAAUCUUCGGCAAUGGGGGCAACCCUGACCGAGCAACGCCGCGUGAGUGAAGAAGGUUUUCGGAUCGUAAAGCUCUGUUGUAAGAGAAGAACGUGUGUGAGAGUGGAAAGUUCACACAGUGACGGUAACUUACCAGAAAGGGACGGCUAACUACGUGCCAGCAGCCGCGGUAAUACGUAGGUCCCGAGCGUUGUCCGGAUUUAUUGGGCGUAAAGCGAGCGCAGGCGGUUUAAUAAGUCUGAAGUUAAAGGCAGUGGCUUAACCAUUGCUCGCUUUGGAAACUGUUAAACUUGAGUGCAGAAGGGGAGAGUGGAAUUCCAUGUGUAGCGGUGAAAUGCGUAGAUAUAUGGAGGAACACCGGUGGCGAAAGCGGCUCUCUGGUCUGUAACUGACGCUGAGGCUCGAAAGCGUGGGGAGCAAACAGG
RNAcentral lists this ribosomal RNA (429 nucleotides) under bacterium. Its description in RNAcentral is "partial 16S ribosomal RNA". It matches the Rfam family "Bacterial small subunit ribosomal RNA", at positions 355 to 776 of the family's 1533-position model. The record is from RNAcentral.